GGUCAUACGACUUCACCCAUAAAAGAAACCCCUCUGAGGGUGACAGCUGGUCACAGGAGGGAGGGGGAACAUACUUUCCCAGGCCCCUUACAGUUUGACAAGACUUUGCAUGAUCCAGGAAGACAUGCAUCAAUUUCUUGGUGUGACACCAAAAGAUCAUGGAACCUUUGAUUGUCUGGGCCCCUGAGUGACUUCAUGGAUCGAAGCCCCUCACCAAUCCAUAUUGGACAUGUGUCUCUAAUGAGGGAAAAAAACCCCACAAACUUUUGCUAUAUUAAGUCAUUGAAAUUUGUUCCCAGAGCAUACCCUGAGCUACUCUUAUUAAAGUCUACUCUGGA
Molecule: long non-coding RNA, 338 nt
Organism: Lemur catta (Ring-tailed lemur)
Lineage: Eukaryota; Metazoa; Chordata; Mammalia; Primates; Lemuridae
Exons: 3
Source: RefSeq, a predicted model, not a curated record